UUACGGUGCCGGUGUGUGUGUGAGUGUAUAUGUCGCUGCUCACACAGAGGCGAGGCGGCACGCUGUACCUACAGAGAGGACGAAAACAAAAUACGAACAGGACGAAGUGUCUGAAAACAUGAGACGGGACUUUUUGUUGUAGCCACUGACACCGUCCUCACCCGGCUCCUUUUCUCCUUUUGUUUUCGGUGUUAAACUUCGGCUCUGCCAGCGUUUACCGGAGUGCCACUCACCUCGCACGCGUUACCUUUCACACCGGCUGCCUCCGUUUGACUUUUCGUGAUUUUUUUUUUUCUUCGGGUCGGGGAGGAAGAAAAACAAAAGCCAACUUUACCGUGGUCCUCUGAGCCAGCUCUGAAAUCAGAGAAAAGUGGUCGCAGCCCUCAGACAGGAUCUUUCAUAGUCAGUGGGAUGUUAGUGCUCUGGAAGCAGGACCAGGACUGACUGAAGGAGCAUGGUGAAACACCAACCCCUCCAGGUCUAUGAGCGCCAGCUGUGUUUGUCUUGUAUCACUGGGAUCUACGGUUGCCGCUGGAAACGCUAUCAACGUUCCCAUGAUGAUACCACUAAGUGGGAGCUGCUGUGGUCCCUCAUCCUCCUUUUUACCUUCUGUCUGCUGCUGGUCUGGUUCUACUUCUGGUGGGAGGCACAUAAUGACUACAAUGAAUUCAACUGGUCCCUCUACAACCGCUCUGGAGAGUGGAGUGAUGGCACUGUUCCCAUCCUGGCCACCACCGCCGCUGGCUUCACCUAUAUUGCAUUUUUAGUGGUUUUAGCACUUUGCCACAUUGCGCUUGGGCAACAGUUAAAUUUGCACUGGCUCCAUAAGAUAGGAGUGACUGCUGCUCUGCUCACCACCAUCGUUGGGGUGAUAUCUGUCUGUCAAACAUGGGGGCAAGAGUGGGAUGUCAUCCCCAUCUCGCUGCAGGCUACAGGUCCGUUCCUGCACAUAGGAGCUCUUGCUGCGGUCACGGCGCUGUCUUGGAUUGUGGCCGGACAGGUCGCCCGCGCAGAAAAAACAAUGUUCCAGGUGGUGGUCGUGCUGCUGUAUCUCAGCGUGUUACUGGGACUCUAUGUUAUGCCCCUCUACAUCACCUCCCCCUGCAUCAUGGAGCCCACCACCCUCAAACCACGUCCCGAUGUCAUUGGUCACCAGGGAGCCCCCAUGCUUGCUCCAGAGAACACACUGUGGUCUUUCCAGCGAGCUCUGCAGAUGAACGUCACUGGGUUUGAGACUGAUGUGGCUAUCAGCAUGGAUGGAGUGCCUUUCCUGAUGCACGACCGCACCCUGCGGAGGACCACAGACGUAGAGAAGGUUUUCCCAGACCGACAGAUGGAAGAUGCCUCGUUCUUCAACUGGACAGAUCUGCAACAGCUCAACGCAGGACAGUGGUUCCUCAAGGAUGACCCCUUCUGGACGGUGCACACCAUGUCCCCGCAUGAGAAGACUCUGAUUGCCAACCAGAGUGUGUGCAGCCUGGAGCAGCUCUUAAAGAUGGCCUCAUAUCAUAACAGCACAGUGGUUUUCAGGCUCGCGAGACCUCCUUCGGAGCACCCCUGCUACGACAGCUGGAUCAAUGAUACACUGCACGCUGUGCAGCAGUCCGGGGUUCCUCAGAGCCUGGUGAUGUGGACACCAGAUGAGUACAGGGCUCAGGUGAGACAGAUGGUGCCCGGUCUGAUCCAGACCUCACUGGAGAAACGGAGUCCUCAAAGUCUCCCUCAGUCGGGCAUCAGCAGGCUGUUGCUCAGAUACAAUCAGGCCAGCACACAGGAAAUCAGUGAGUUCUCUGAGGGACACAUCAAACUCACCCUCUACACUGUCAACGAGCCCUGGCUGUACUCUGUGCUCUGGUGCAGCGGGGUGCCUUCGGUGUCUUCAGAGGCCCCGCAUAUCCUCAUAAAGGUGCCUUACCCAAUCUGGCUCAUGAGACCACAUGAAUACUGCCUGAUGUGGGUGUCUGCAGACCUCAUCUCCUUUGCUGUAGUCAUAGGAAUAUUCAUUUUGCAGAAGUAUCGGAUGAGCGGCAUGCGCAGCUACAACCCUGAACAGAUCAUGCUGAGCGCCGCAGUCAGGAGGUCCAGUCGAGACAUCAGCGUCAUGAAGGAGAAACUCAUCUUUUCUGGUCAGCCCCAGUAGCCGCCUGCCUCCUCCAUCCUUCGUGUGUUGAUGCGCACCACCUCCUGUCCAUCCUACCUCCUCUCCAUCUCCUCCGCCAGCAGUGACUUCCUCCUUUUAUUCCAUGCAUCUGUUUCCUCCCUCGUUACCUGACACCUCUUUGCCCACUUUGCCCCUCUCCCCUUCAUCCAUUCAUCCAUCGCUUCAUGCACCAAAUCUCACCCACAUUCCUCCCAAUGGACACAACGUUAUGUGUAGGGGAGCUUAUAGACGCCCCAGUCUGUCUAGUGGUGGGGACGAAAGAGGUGAGGAAUGGCGUUGGCAGUGCUGAGGAGCUGUAUGCGGACAAUGGCUACAACUACUACACCAAUCAGGGCGCCAGCCAGUGAUUGGAGCGAAGCCUGUGUGAAUCUGCUGCGCUGAGACGGAGACAAAAACACUCUCAGUGUUCAGAUCAUUCCUGUGUAAAAGUCUGUCCUCCUCUGCCUCUGACGGAGAAAACCACCACCCCCCAGUUUCUUUGUGUACAUUGUGUAAAUAGGGUUUCUGCUUGUCAGAUAUACUGUGUAUCACACAGGACUACACGCACUUUUUAUUGAUGGAAUUUGCCCCCCACCCCACCUCCCUUAUCUUACCAAUGCCUGCUUCUCCUUAAAGAUGAGUUUCCAGCUCAUUUUCCAAAGCAGUUUAUUAUUUCAAGCACUGUAAAGGCUGUUCCUCUCUUAGCAGAUGAAUUUCUUUUUAACAAGGCUUUUUACGAUCUUUUAUUGCAGCAUGAGACAAAAAUCUUAACAGCUCAUUUUGCGCCUGCCUUCUGUCAGCACUCCGCUGUGCUGCUGUUCAUACUAGUAGUCGAUAUUUAUAUUUAAAGAGAAAAACAAAAAAAAAACAAACAAACAAGCUGUUUACAGACGUCCUGCCUUCUCCUCCAGGUGAAAUAUUCACAUGGUGUAUGUAAGAGAAUUAUUUUGAUAGAGGCCGAAUGGACUCCCUGCCCUGCUAUUGAUCAGUGCAUGUUACAGUAAUGAUCAUGUCAAAUGACUUAUGUGAGCUGUGCUCCCAGUGCGUAACCAGAGGAAGGCCUGGUGAAAAUGGUUUGGGGUGGGGCUUUGUGCUAUCUUUUAACGGUUACUGUGAAUGUGUUAUGGAUUAUGUUGUUUUUUUAAGAUGUGUAUGGUGUAUUGUGUGCAUCCUGGCUGGAUAGGUUUUUGUUUUUUACCCCGUGUGCAGUGCUAUGUUGAAUGUGUUAUUGUAAAUAAAAAGGUGAACCUAUGUGAGAGAUGCUCCAGCCAACUAAGAAUUACAUUUGAACAAUGUGACAGUUUAAGAAUUACAAUAGCAAUAGUCUGGUCAUGAUGGAAGUCAUUGUACUUCCUACACAGCCUCUGGAUUGCAGUUAAAUCUGUGGUAUUGUUGUGCUGACUCACAAAAUGCAUCUUAAUGUUAAGUUUCUGGUGUAAAAUGCUGUAAAGUAAAUGAAGUGGGUGCUAAAUGUGAAAAUAAAGCUCCAAGCUAAUUGAAGGGACGCUACCACAGGUGUCACAAUGGGCAGCACAGGGUCAAGAAAUGCAUCGCCUUUUGUGUUGACUUUCUUUCUUUGGGUAUUACUGUGCCUCAGAAGUAAACAUUAAAAAAAAUCUUCUAAUA
Molecule: RNA transcript, 3766 nt
Organism: Toxotes jaculatrix (banded archerfish)
Lineage: Eukaryota; Metazoa; Chordata; Actinopteri; Toxotidae
Gene: gdpd5b
Gene name: glycerophosphodiester phosphodiesterase domain containing 5b
Exons: 17
Source: RefSeq, a predicted model, not a curated record